CUUUUGCUCCGACGCCGGCGAGCGAGACCGAGAGGCGAGGCGAGCCACCGCGGCGGCGGUUGCAGCGAUGGGGUCCAUGACGAUCGGUGCCAAGUACAAGACCACGAUCAAGGACCCCGGCACCCCGGGCAUCCUCCGCAUGAACGGUGAUAGGUUCACCUUCACCCCUAAUGAUCCACGAUCGGCAAUGAAGUUCAAUGUUGAUUUCCGAACCAUCAAAGGUCACAAGUUCAAUAAAGUAGAGGGUAACAAAGCAGCAUUAUUGAACCUUUCAAAAGAAGACAAGGCUGGAGGCUACAUAUUUGAGUUUGACAAUGUUGGUAACCGUGACCAAUGUCGAGACUUUGUAGCUAGGGUUUUAGGCAAACAUCAAGGGAUAGUGCCUCCUAGACCAACUGUGGCUCCUGAAAACUCAGUUGCUUCUGCUGCUCUGGAACAACUCAGUGCCGCAGAAGUGGAGAGACGGGUUAAACUGUUGCGAGAAGACAGCGAAUUGCAGAAAUUACAUAAGAAGUUUGUUCUUGGAAAUAUUCUGCAAGAAUCUGAAUUUUGGGCAACAAGAAAGAAUUUACUUGAUGAUGAAGCAAAUAAGAGAUCAAAACAAAAGCCAGGUUUCAAGAGUGCACUUGUAGAUAUUAGGCCAACAACUGAUGGUCGGACAAACAAGGUUACUUUCCAGAUCACACCUGAGAUGAUACAUCAGAUUUUUGCAGAAAAGCCUGCUGUCCGUAGAGCAUAUUUAGAUUUUGUUCCAAAAAAGAUGUCAGAAACCCGAUUUUGGGAAAAAUACUGUAGAGCUGAGUAUCUAGUCAGGACAAAAAACACUGCAGCAGCAACAGCUGAGGCAGCUGGAGAUGAGGAAUUAGCUAUCUUCCUGAAGAAUGAUGAUAUACUGGCCAAGGAGGCAAAGUUGAAGAUAAAACGAGUCGAUCCAACAUUAGACAUGGAGGCAGACACUGGAGAUGAUUACAUUCAUCUUCCGGACCAUGGGAUUCACCGUGAUGGUAGCAAAGAGACAGUCGAUGCUGACAGUGAGUUGGCGAGGAGGACGCUGUCUCAGGACCUGAACCGUCAUGCAGCUGUUGUUCUUGAAGGGAGAUCUCUUGAUGUUGAGUCAACUGAUCCAAAGACUUUAGCUGAAGCCCUUGCAAGAUCCAAGAAAGAACCACCUUCUACUUCUAAUGUUGAUGAUGAUAAUCAUGAGAGACUAAUGAAGGUGGCUAGAAUGACAGAGAUAGAGGAUCUGCAAGCUCCACGAAGUCUUCUGUAUGCACCACUUUGUAUAAAGGAUCCUAGAGAAUAUUUUGAUUCCCAACAAGCAAAUGCUCUGAGAUCUCUAGGUGGCAGCAAUGGUGGAAGAAAAGCCCAUAGUUGCAGCUUGAGCACUGAAGAAGUGUUCCAUCAUUUAAUGGAUCAAAUGUCUUCUGUUAAAGUUAAUAGGCUUAACUGUCCGAUUGUUCAGUCUGAUAUGGCUCUUAAGGAAAUCCUAACUACCUAAAUGGUAUGGGCCUAGGUUCUUAAUGAAUUAAACGAAGGGAUUUCUCGUUCAAGGAGACUUAACCUCAAGAAUCCUCAAGAAGGUCUCCUUGGUCAGCUGCCUCAACAUACACGGGACGAGCUUAUGGAUCAUUGGACGGCUAUCCAGGAAUUGCUACGCCAUUUUUGGUCAUCGUAUCCAAUAACAAGUGCAGUACUUUAUAACAAGGUUCAAAGAGUUAAAGAAGCUAUGACACAGAUAUAUCAAAAGCUGCAGCUUAUAAAGGAAUUGGCACAGCCUGAUGUAAGACAUGAAAUAUCUCGGCUAGUAAAGCCCAUGACUCAGGCCUUGGAUGCCGCCUUCAACCAUGAUUUGGAACAGCAGCAGAAAUCGUCCAAGGCCGGAAACAGGCACAACGGGUUUUGAGCCUAGGAGAUUGGUUUGACCAACACAUGAAGCGAGACGGACGGACGGGCUGUGCCCGAAUACACAAGAGCUGCUGCAGAAUUCUUGAGGCUUGUACGAUUUUGUUCUUUUCCCCCUCGCUUAUUAAUAGCUGCCGGAGGAGCCUGCUGUUUGCAGCCCCGGAAUCUUGAUCUAUGCAUCAAUUGUUUGUAACUGACUGAAUAGUGAAGACUCGCAACGCAUGAUGCUGCCGACGCGUUGUACUUGUACAUGGCAGUAAUGGCUAUUCGAGAUAGAACCAAAGCUUUACCAUUUUGUUUUAUGCGGUUCGUUCAUGGCCGCCGGGCAGAAUUAUACACAUGUAUGUCAUCUACAGCGUUACAAACAUACCAUUAUAUAUCACAGU
Molecule: RNA transcript, 2288 nt
Organism: Zea mays
Lineage: Eukaryota; Viridiplantae; Streptophyta; Magnoliopsida; Poales; Poaceae
Exons: 20
Source: RefSeq, marked validated